RNAcentral lists this ribosomal RNA (519 nucleotides) under uncultured eukaryote. Its description in RNAcentral is "SSU rRNA". It matches the Rfam family "Eukaryotic small subunit ribosomal RNA", at positions 1161 to 1704 of the family's 1831-position model. The record is from RNAcentral.
AGGGCACCACCAGGAGUGGAGCCUGCGGCUUAAUUUGACUCAACACGGGAAAUCUCACCAGGCCCGGACACCGGAAGGAUUGACAGACUGAAAGCUCUUUCUUGAUUCGGUGGGUGGUGGUGCAUGGCCGUUCUUAGUUGGUGGAGCGAUUUGUCUGGUUAAUUCCGAUAACGAACGAGACUCUGGCCUACUAAAUAGACAUUGGAUCAUUUAAGGUCCAUUGCAGCUUCUUAGAGGGACGGGCGGCUUAUAGCCGCACGAGAAUGAGCAAUAACAGGUCUGUGAUGCCCUUAGAUGUUCUGGGCUGCACGCGCGCUACACUGAAGGAAUCAGCGUGUGUACCCUGUCCGAAAGGACUGGGAAACCCGUUGAACCUCCUUCGUGAUGGGGAUUGGGGAUUGCAAUUAUUCCCCAUGAACGAGGAAUUCCCAGUAGGCGCGAGUCAUAAGCUUGCGUCGAUUACGUCCCUGCCCUUUGUACACACCGCCCGUCGCUACUACCGAUCGAGUGUUUUAGUGA